Molecule: transfer RNA, 73 nt
Filed under: Stegodyphus mimosarum
Lineage: Eukaryota; Metazoa; Arthropoda; Arachnida; Araneae; Eresidae
Rfam family: tRNA
About the family: Transfer RNA (tRNA) molecules are approximately 80 nucleotides in length. Their secondary structure includes four short double-helical elements and three loops (D, anti-codon, and T loops).
Source: Rfam by way of RNAcentral
GCCUUCGUGAUGUAGUGGUCAGCACGCUCGACGCGUAACCGAGAGAUCCGUGGUUCGAUUCCCGGCGAAGGUG